GCUGGGCGCGGUGGCUCACGCCUGUAAUCCCAGCAAUUUGGGAGGCCGAGGCGGGUGGAUUACCGGAGGUCAGGAAUUUGCGACCAACCUGACCAACAUGGUGAAACCCCGUCUCUA
This is a non-coding RNA of Homo sapiens (human), 117 nucleotides long. It matches the Rfam family "Metazoan signal recognition particle RNA". From Rfam's summary of the family: The signal recognition particle (SRP) is a universally conserved ribonucleoprotein. It is involved in the co-translational targeting of proteins to membranes. The eukaryotic SRP consists of a 300-nucleotide 7S RNA and six proteins: SRPs 72, 68, 54, 19, 14, and 9. The record is from Rfam. Lineage: Eukaryota; Metazoa; Chordata; Mammalia; Primates; Hominidae.